UAUGUGGUAGGGAAGAUACUUGCAUGAUAGAGUGUGCUGUUUAUAUUUCCAGGAUUUGAUUUGUAUUUAAUUGGGUGUUCAUGGUUACGAAAUCACAACAUGAUAAAACAGGUUAAAUGCAGAACUAGACACAGACAGGAUAUCUUAAAGGAUGAAUUCAGUAUACUCACCUACUACGAUGAAUCUUUGUGCAUACCUUGAUCGUGGGGGUAUAUCCUGAAGUGGGACACGCUCGUAUUUCAGUAAAUAAAAUUACCUUAACGUAUCAUACGGUAAUGGUACUUGAAAUGUUCAUGCAUUUUGUUUAAGUGGACAAACAUACUGGUAAUCGUCUUGAACUGCUUUUCACGAAAAAUUAAAUAAAGAAUUAUCUAAUUGUGUGAAACAGUUUGAUUAUGUUGAUAUGAUCUUCUUACCAGUGAUUCUCACAAAAAUAGAGUGUUUUUUUGUUUUUGUUAUUUACUUGCUUUCAGAAAAAUAUAAAAAUACAAAAAUAGUGUCUUUUUCUGUUUAAAAUUCUUAACGUACGGAAAACUGUUAUUCUUGGAGGAAUUGUUACCGAUAGGGGGAGACAGUGUUAGAAAGUGAGUUCAAAAUUUUCAAUCAGGCAGGUUCUUUUGUGUUGGACAAAAUGUUUUGCGUGUUGAUUGAAGCAGUUUGUUGCUGAGAAGUUGCUGUGACGUGUGAAGAUGAGAGUUUGAUUGGCUGCAUGGUAGAACCUCCUUUCUAAAUUGCAGACAAGAUUGAAGAGUUGAAGAUUGCUGUGCAAAUGCUAAACUGGAGUUUAUUCAAGUGCUAACGUGUUGAAGAUUUGGUGAUUGGAUGCAUCAGCUUAGGGGGAGUCUGUUGCUGACAGAAGCUAUUGAAGCUGAAGCUAUCCAAAGACCAAAGACAGUGCAAGACUGCAUGAAGAUUGCAAGAAGACCGAAGACAAAGUUUUGACUCAAGACAAAGUUUUUAUGAAGCUAUUGUCAAGGGGGAGUUUGUUGGUGCAUGUUUGUGACAACAGCUUAGAUUUGGUCUUUGGAUAUCUUGUAAUUAGUUAAACGAUAAACAGUUAGCGGGUUUAGCUUUGUAAUAGUUAGUUGUUAUGUUUGGGCUAACUAAACCCAAGGAAUUGGGUGAUGGGGGCGAAUUGGGCCUGUCCAAUUCGCAGCCCAGGAGUCUUUAACCUAGCCCAGUUGUGAACCUUGUGUUAUAUAAACAAGGUUAGACAUUAGGGUUAAGGUUAAUCAGCCAAAACAGAGUUUGAGUGACCUUGAAAUUCGUGAGAGAUAGCUUGGACGAAUUUGGAGGGUUAGGGUUUAGAUUGAUUGUAAUUCUUGUUUGAUUGAUAAUCAAUAGAAACCCGGGUU
RNAcentral lists this long non-coding RNA (1355 nucleotides) under Helianthus annuus (common sunflower). Its description in RNAcentral is "hypothetical non coding rna". The record is from RNAcentral. Lineage: Eukaryota; Viridiplantae; Streptophyta; Magnoliopsida; Asterales; Asteraceae.